RNAcentral lists this ribosomal RNA (1438 nucleotides) under uncultured Desulfobacteraceae bacterium. RNAcentral describes it as "partial 16S ribosomal RNA". It matches the Rfam family "Bacterial small subunit ribosomal RNA". The record is from RNAcentral. Lineage: Bacteria; Pseudomonadati; Thermodesulfobacteriota; Desulfobacteria; Desulfobacterales; Desulfobacteraceae.
GGAGGAUGAGUAGAGUGGCGCACGGGUGAGUAACACGUGGAUAAUCUGUCUUCGGGAACGGGAUAACCAAUCGAAAGGCUGGCUAAAACCGUAUGAAGUUUUGUAUUGCAGGAUACAGAAUGAAAAGGUGCCUCUGAUAUACGCAUCUGCUUGAAGGUGAGUCCGCGUCCCAUUAGCUUGCUGGUGGGGUAAGAGCCUACCAGGGCGACGAUGGGUAGCUGGUCUGAGAGGAUGAUCAGCCACACUGGAACUGAAACACGGUCCAGACUCCUACGGGAGGCAGCAGUGAGGGAUUUUGCGCAAUGGGGGAAACCCUGACGCAGCAACGCCGCGUGAGUGAAGAAGGCCUUUGGGUCGUAAAGCUCUGUCAACAGGGAAGAAGUUACUGUAUAUGAACAGUGUAUGGUAUUGACGGUACCUGUGGAGGAAGCACCGGCUAACUCCGUGCCAGCACGCCGCGGUAACACGGGGGGUGCAAGCGUUAUUCGGAAUUAUUGGGCGUAAAGGGCGCGCAGGCGGUCUUGCCGGUCAGGUGUGAAAGCCCGGGGCUCAACCCCGGAAGAGCAUUUGAAACAGCAAGACUUGAGUACAGGAGAGGAAAGCGGAAUUCCUGGUGUAGAGGUGAAAUUCGUAGAUAUCAGGAGGAACACCCAUGGCGAAGGCAGCUUUCUGGACUGAUACUGACGCUGAGGCGCGAAGGUGUGGGUAGCGAACAGGAUUAGAUACCCUGGUAGUCCACGCCGUAAACGAUGAAUGCUCGCCGUUGCUUCGUUAGGGGGCAGUGGCUAAGCUAACGCGUUAAGCAUUCCGCCUGGGGAGUACGAUCGCAAGGUUGAAACUCAAAGGAAUUGACGGGGGCCCGCACAAGCGGUGGAGCAUGUGGCUCAAUUCGAUGCAACGCGAAGAACCUUACCUAGGCUCGAACGCUAGGCGCUCGCUCCUGAAAGGGAGCUUUCCGCAAGGACGCCUAGCGAGGUACUGCAUGGCUGUCGUCAGCUCGUGUCGUGAGAUGUUGGGUUAAGUCCCGCAACGAGCGUAACCCCUGUUGCUAGUUUACCAGCGGAUCAUGCCGGGGACUCUAGCGAAACUGCCUGCGCAAGCAGUGAGGAAGGUGGGGAUGACGUCAAGUCAUCAUGGUCCUUACGCCUAGGGCUGCACACGUGCUACAAUGGCCGGUACAACGAGCAGCUACCUCGCGAGAGGCAGCGAAUCUCUGAAAGCCGGUCCCAGUUCAGAUUGGAGUCUGCAACUCGACUCCAUGAAGCAGGAAUCGCUAGUAAUCGCGGAUCAGCAAUGCCGCGGUGAAUACGUUCCCGGGCCUUGUACACACCGCCCGUCAAGCCAUGGAAGCUGAGAGCACCCGAAGUCCGUGACCCAACCUUUGCGGGAGGGAGCGGCCGAAGGUGAGCUCAGUGACUGGGGCUAAGUCGUAACAAGG